Molecule: ribosomal RNA, 451 nt
Filed under: uncultured bacterium
Lineage: Bacteria
Description: bacterial SSU rRNA
Rfam family: Bacterial small subunit ribosomal RNA
Source: RNAcentral
GUGGGGAAUUGUUCGCAAUGGGCGCAAGCCUGACGACGCAACGCCGCGUGGAGGAUGAAGGUCUUCGGAUUGUAAACUCCUGUUGACCGGGAAGAAUUCCCCUGGGGUUAACACCCCUGGAGGUUGACGGUACCGGUUGAGGAAGCCCCGGCUAACUCUGUGCCAGCAGCCGCGGUAAUACAGAGGGGGCGAGCGUUGUUCGGAAUUACUGGGCGUAAAGGGCGCGUAGGCGGCCGACUAAGUCAGACGUGAAAUCCCCUGGCUCAACCAGGGAACUGCGUCUGAUACUGGCUGGCUUGAAUCCGGGAGAGGGAUGUGGAAUUCCAGGUGUAGCGGUGAAAUGCGUAGAUAUCUGGAGGAACACCGGUGGCGAAGGCGGCAUCCUGGACCGGUAUUGACGCUGAUGCGCGAAAGCCAGGGGAGCAAACGGGAUUAGAUACCCGGGUAGUCC